RNAcentral lists this small nuclear RNA (196 nucleotides) under Ipomoea nil (Japanese morning glory). RNAcentral's name for it is "U2 spliceosomal RNA". It matches the Rfam family "U2 spliceosomal RNA". From Rfam's summary of the family: U2 is a small nuclear RNA (snRNA) component of the spliceosome (involved in pre-mRNA splicing). Complementary binding between U2 snRNA (in an area lying towards the 5' end but 3' to hairpin I) and the branchpoint sequence (BPS) of the intron results the bulging out of an unpaired adenosine, on the BPS, which initiates a nucleophilic attack at the intronic 5' splice site, thus starting the first of two transesterification reactions that mediate splicing. Lineage: Eukaryota; Viridiplantae; Streptophyta; Magnoliopsida; Solanales; Convolvulaceae. The record is from Rfam by way of RNAcentral.
AUACCUUUCUCGGCCUUUUGGCUAAGAUCAAGUGUAGUAUCUGUUCUUAUCAGUUUAAUAUCUGAUAUGUGAGCCAUUGACUCACACGAUAUUAACUCAAUUUUUUAAGGGGAAAGAUCUACCAAGGGAGCUUGCUGCCUUGAUCUUUGAGUGUCGCCUUGGUAUUGCACUAUUGCUUUGGCCUGGCACACCCCAA